RNAcentral lists this unclassified non-coding RNA (345 nucleotides) under soil metagenome. RNAcentral describes it as "partial contains 5.8S ribosomal RNA, internal transcribed spacer 2, and large subunit ribosomal RNA". The stretch from base 1 to 120 matches the Rfam family "5.8S ribosomal RNA", at positions 35 to 154 of the family's 154-position model. The record is from RNAcentral.
GAUGAAGAACGUAGUGAAAUGCGAUAAGUAAUGUGAAUUGCAGAAUUCAGUGAAUCAUUGAAUCUUUGAACGCACAUUGCGCCCCCUGGUAUUCCGGGGGGCAUGCCUGUCCGAGCGUCAUUGCUGCCCUCAAGCACGGCUUGUGUGUUGGGCCUCCGUCCUCCUCCCGGGGGACGGGCCCGAAAGGCAGCGGCGGCACCGCGUCCGGUCCUCGAGCGUAUGGGGCUUCGUCACCCGCUCUUGUAGGCCCGGUCGGCGCUUGCCGACACAUCAAUCUUUUUUCCAGGUUGACCUCGGAUCAGGUAGGGAUACCCGCUGAACUUAAGCAUAUCAAUAAGCGGAGGA